GGGAAUGUGGCUCAGUGGUAGAGUGCUUGCCUAGCAUGCAUGAGGCCCUUGGUUCCAUUCCUC
Molecule: transfer RNA, 63 nt
Filed under: Dipodomys ordii (Ord's kangaroo rat)
Lineage: Eukaryota; Metazoa; Chordata; Mammalia; Rodentia; Heteromyidae
Rfam family: tRNA
About the family: Transfer RNA (tRNA) molecules are approximately 80 nucleotides in length. Their secondary structure includes four short double-helical elements and three loops (D, anti-codon, and T loops).
Source: Rfam by way of RNAcentral